Molecule: ribosomal RNA, 292 nt
Filed under: uncultured bacterium
Lineage: Bacteria
Description: partial 16S ribosomal RNA
Rfam family: Bacterial small subunit ribosomal RNA
Source: RNAcentral
GUGCCAGCAGCCGCGGUAAUACGAAGGGGGCUAGCGUUGUUCGGAAUUACUGGGCGUAAAGCGCACGUAGGCGGGUUGUUAAGUCAGGGGUGAAAUCCCGGAGCUCAACUCCGGAACUGCCUUUGAUACUGGCAAUCUAGAGACUGGAAGAGGUUAGUGGAAUUCCCAGUGUAGAGGUGAAAUUCGUAGAUAUUGGGAAGAACACCAGUGGCGAAGGCGGCUAACUGGUCCAGUACUGACGCUGAGGUGCGAAAGCGUGGGGAGCAAACAGGAUUAGAAACCCCUGUAGUCC